UAUAAGUAUAAACGAUUCUAUCGUGAAACCGCGAACGGCUCAUUAUAACAGCUAUAAUUUACUUGAUCUUGACUAUCCUACUUGGAUAACUGUGGUAAUUCUAGAGCUAAUACAUGAACCAAAGCUCUGACCUUACGGAAAGAGUGCAUUUAUUAGAACAAAACCAAGCGACUUCGGUCGUUUUUUGUUGACUCAGAAUAACUAAGCUGAUCGCAUGGUCUUGUACCGGCGACGUGUCUUUCAAGUAUCUGCCUUAUCAACUUUCGAUGGUAGUGUAUCUGACUACCAUGGUGGUGACGGGUAACGGAGGAUAAGGGUUUGACUCCGGAGAAGGGGCCUGAGAAAUGGCCACUACGUCUAAGGAUGGCAGCAGGCGCGCAAAUUACCCACUCUCAGAAUGAGGAGGUAGUGACGAAAAAUAACGAGACCGUUCUCUUUGAGGCCGGUCAUCGGAAUGGGUACAAUCUAAACCCUUUAACGAGUAUCUAUGAGAGGGCAAGUCUGGUGCCAGCAGCCGCGGUAAUUCCAGCUCUCAAAAUGCAUAGAAUUAUUGCUGCGGUUAAAAAGCUCGUAGUUGGAUCUGUGCUGAGGACCUGGUCCAUCUUCGGAUGCGUACUUGGCUCCACGGCUUUUUCUGCCGGUUUUCCCGUCAUGGUCUUUAUUGAUUGUGGCGGGUGGCUGGUGAUUUUACUUUGAACAAAUCAGAGUGCUUCAAACAGGCGUUUAGCUUGAAUGUUUUUGCAUGGAAUAAUAGAAGAGGAUUUCGGUUCUAUUUUAUUGGUUUUAUAGACUGAGAUAAUGGUUAACAGAGACCAACGGGGGCAUUCGUACCGCUGCGUGAGAGGUGAAAUUCUUGGACCGCAGCGAGACGAACUACAGCGAAAGCAUUUGCCAAGAAGGUCUUCAUUAAUCAAGAACGAAAGUCAGAGGUUCGAAGGCGAUCAGAUACCGCCCUAGUUCUGACCGUAAACGAUGCCAACUAGCGAUCUGCCGGCGGAAUUUUCGCCCUGGUAGGGAGCUUCCCGGAAACGAAAGUCUACCGGUUCCGGGGGAAGUAUGGUUGCAAAGCUGAAACUUAAAGGAAUUGACGGAAGGGCACCACCAGGAGUGGAGCCUGCGGCUUAAUUUGACUCAACACGGGGAAACUCACCCGGCCCGGACACCAUAAGGAUUGACAGAUUGAUAGCUUUUUCAUGAUUUGGUGGAUGGUGGUGCAUGGCCGUUCUUAGUUCGUGGAGCGAUUUGUCUGGUUUAUUCCGAUAACGAGCGAGACUCUAGCCUACUAAAUAGUCUGCACAUUGCUUACUGUGAUGCAGUACUUCUUAGAGGGAUUUUCGGUGUACAGCCGCACGAGAUUGAGCAAUAACAGGUCUGUGAUGCCCUUAGAUGUCCGGGGCUGCACGCGCGCUACACUGGCGAAAUCAGCGUGCUUGUCCUAGCUCGAAAGAGCUUGGUAAACCAAUGAAAAUUUGCCGUGAUUGGGAUCGGAAAUUGCAAUUAUUUUCCGUGAACGAGGAAUUCCAAGUAAAUGCGAGUCAUCAACUCGCGUUGAUUACGUCCCUGCCCUUUGUACACACCGCCCGUCGCUGCCCGGGACUGAGCCAUUUCGAGAAAUUUGGGGAUUGCUGAUUAGCGGUCUUUCGGGAUUGCUUUUUGGUGAGAACCAAUUUAAUCGCAGUGGCUUGAACCGGGCAAAAGUCGUAACAAGGUGGCUGUAG
RNAcentral lists this ribosomal RNA (1718 nucleotides) under Litylenchus crenatae. Its description in RNAcentral is "SSU rRNA". It matches the Rfam family "Eukaryotic small subunit ribosomal RNA". The record is from RNAcentral. Lineage: Eukaryota; Metazoa; Nematoda; Chromadorea; Rhabditida; Anguinidae.